CGAACGAAGCACCUGAGAAUGAUUCUUCGGAUGAAGUCUCUUGUGACUGAGUGGCGGACGGGUGAGUAACGCGUGGGUAACCUGCCUCACACAGGGGGAUAACAGUUGGAAACGACCGCUAAUACCGCAUAACCCGCUGGUGCCGCAUGGCACUGACGGAAAAGAUUUUAUCGGUGUGAGAUGGACCCGCGUCUGAUUAGCCAGUUGGCAGGGUAACGGCCUACCAAAGCGACGAUCAGUAGCCGGCCUGAGAGGGUGAACGGCCACAUUGGGACUGAGACACGGCCCAGACUCCUGCGGGAGGCAGCAGUGGGGAAUAUUGCACAAUGGGGGAAACCCUGAUGCAGCGACGCCGCGUGAGUGAAGAAGUAUUUCGGUAUGUAAAGCUCUAUCAGCAGGGAAGAAAAUGACGGUACCUGACUAAGAAGCCCCGGCUAACUACGUGCCAGCAGCCGCGGUAAUACGUAGGGGGCAAGCGUUAUCCGGAUUUACUGGGUGUAAAGGGAGCGUAGACGGUGAUGCAAGUCAGAAGUGAAAGCCCGGGGCUCAACUCCGGGACUGCUUUUGAAACUGUGUGACUGGAGUGCAGGAGAGGUAAGCGGAAUUCCUGGUGUAGCGGUGAA
This 623-nucleotide ribosomal RNA is filed under the name uncultured bacterium. RNAcentral's name for it is "bacterial SSU rRNA". It matches the Rfam family "Bacterial small subunit ribosomal RNA", at positions 63 to 685 of the family's 1533-position model. The record is from RNAcentral.